GAUGAACGCUAGCUACAGGCUUAACACAUGCAAGUCGAGGGGUAACGAGAGGAAAGCUUGCUUUCCUUGUCGACGACCGGCGCACGGGUGAGUAACGCGUAUCCAACCUGCCCCCAACUAGGGAAUAACCUUGCGAAAGUAAGACUAAUACCCUAUAAUUUCCUCAGAUGUCAUCUGACGAGGAAUAAAGAUUUAUCGGUUGUGGAUGGGGAUGCGUCUGAUUAGCUUGUUGGCGGGGUAACGGCCCACCAAGGCAACGAUCAGUAGGGGUUCUGAGAGGAAGGUCCCCCACAUUGGAACUGAGACACGGUCCAAACUCCUACGCGAUGGAGCAGUGAGGAAUAUUGGUCAAUGGGCGGAAGCCUGAACCAGCCAAGUAGCGUGCAGGAUGACGGCCCUAUGGGUUGUAAACUGCUUUUAUCCAGGAAUAAAGUUAGCCACGUGUGGUUAUUUGUAGGUACUGUAUGAAUAAGGACCGGCUAAUUCCGUGCCAGCCGCCGCGGUAA
Molecule: ribosomal RNA, 506 nt
Filed under: uncultured bacterium
Lineage: Bacteria
Description: partial 16S ribosomal RNA
Rfam family: Bacterial small subunit ribosomal RNA
Source: RNAcentral